Molecule: ribosomal RNA, 253 nt
Filed under: uncultured bacterium
Lineage: Bacteria
Description: partial 16S ribosomal RNA
Rfam family: Bacterial small subunit ribosomal RNA
Source: RNAcentral
UACGUAGGGGGCAAGCGUUGUCCGGAUUUAUUGGGCGUAAAGAGCGUGUAGGCGGCCAGACAGGUCUGCUGUGAAAACUCGAGGCUCAACCUCGAGACGCCGGUGGAAACCGUCUGGCUAGAGUCCGGAAGAGGAGAGUGGAAUUCCUGGUGCAGCGGUGAAAUGCGCAGAUAUCAGGAAGAACACCCGUGGCUAAGGCGGCUCUCUAGUACGGUACUGACGCUGAGACGCGAAAGCGUGGGGAGCGAACAGG